Molecule: ribosomal RNA, 268 nt
Filed under: uncultured Eubacteriales bacterium
Lineage: Bacteria; Bacillati; Bacillota; Clostridia; Eubacteriales
Description: uncultured Clostridiales bacterium partial 16S ribosomal RNA
Rfam family: Bacterial small subunit ribosomal RNA
Source: RNAcentral
UUCGGAUGAUCGAUCGGUGACUGAGUGGCGGACGGGUGAGUAACGCGUGGGUAACCUGCCCUGUACAGGGGGAUAACAGCUGGAAACGGCUGCUAAUACCGCAUAAGCGCACAGAGCUGCAUGGCUCGGUGUGAAAAACUCCGGUGGUAUGGGAUGGGCCCGCGUUUGAUUAGGCAGUUGGUGGGGUAACGGCCCACCAAGGCGACGAUCCAUAGCCGGCCUGAGAGGGUGAACGGCCUCAUUGGGACUGAGAUACGGCCCAGACUCC